UAGGCUGAUGGCUCAAUUGGUAGAGUUGCGGUCUCCAAAACCGCCGGUUGGGGGUUCGAGUCCCUCUCAGCCUGU
RNAcentral lists this transfer RNA (75 nucleotides) under Fibrobacterales bacterium. RNAcentral describes it as "tRNA-Trp". It matches the Rfam family "tRNA". From Rfam's summary of the family: Transfer RNA (tRNA) molecules are approximately 80 nucleotides in length. The record is from RNAcentral. Lineage: Bacteria; Pseudomonadati; Fibrobacterota; Fibrobacteria; Fibrobacterales.